Molecule: ribosomal RNA, 402 nt
Filed under: uncultured Alphaproteobacteria bacterium
Lineage: Bacteria; Pseudomonadati; Pseudomonadota; Alphaproteobacteria
Description: bacterial SSU rRNA
Rfam family: Bacterial small subunit ribosomal RNA
Source: RNAcentral
CAGCGUUUGACAUGGGACGUAUGAUCGUCAGAGAUGACUUUCUUCACUUCGGGUGGCGUCCACACAGGUGCUGCAUGGCUGUCGUCAGCUCGUGUCGUGAGAUGUUGGGUUAAGUCCCGCAACGAGCGCAACCCUCACCUUCAGUUGCCAUCAUUUAGUUGGGCACUCUGAAGGAACUGCCGGUGACAAGCCGGAGGAAGGUGGGGAUGACGUCAAGUCCUCAUGGCCCUUACGCGCUGGGCUACACACGUGCUACAAUGGUGGUGACAAUGGGUCGCAAGCGUGCGAACGCAAGCUAAUCUCCAAAAGCCAUCUCAGUUCGGAUUGCACUCUGCAACUCGAGUGCAUGAAGUCGGAAUCGCUAGUAAUCGUGGAUCAGCAUGCCACGGUGAAUACGUUCCC